AGCAGCAGCCACGGUAAUACGUAGGGUGCGAGCGUUAAUCGGAAUUACUGGGCGUAAAGCGUGCGCAGGCGGUCGUGUAAGACAGGUGUGAAAUCCCCGGGCUUAACCUGGGAACUGCGCUUGUGACUGCACAGCUAGAGUAUGGCAGAGGGGGGUGGAAUUCCACGUGUAGCAGUGAAAUGCGUAGAGAUGUGGAGGAACACCGAUGGCGAAGGCAGCCCCCUGGGCCAAUACUGACGCUCAUGCACGAAAGCGUGGGGAGCAAACAGGAUUAGAUACCCCUGUAGUCCCUGUCUCUUAUAC
This 303-nucleotide ribosomal RNA is filed under the name uncultured bacterium. RNAcentral describes it as "partial 16S ribosomal RNA". It matches the Rfam family "Bacterial small subunit ribosomal RNA", at positions 507 to 807 of the family's 1533-position model. The record is from RNAcentral.